This is a long non-coding RNA of Vanessa tameamea, 1021 nucleotides long. RefSeq lists it as uncharacterized. The transcript has 3 exons. Lineage: Eukaryota; Metazoa; Arthropoda; Insecta; Lepidoptera; Nymphalidae. The record is from RefSeq and is a predicted model, not a curated record.
AUAACAGAACCUAAUAAUUAUUGGUGCUAAGUUAUUUAAUAACAAAUUAAUAGUUUUGGAAAUUAUUCGAUAUGAUCUUUUUGAGUUUAUUCGUAUCUUGUGGUUUUGGGCUCGUGGGUAGUAUUGAUAUAAUAAACAUAGCCAACAUUUGGGGUACGGAUCCGUUGGGUAUUUUUGUUUCCUGGCUUAGUAUACAUUAUUCAUCAAAGCAUGAUGUCACUGGAUAUAAGGUCAAGUUAUGGACAGUCAAAAUGAAUACUGAAAAGAAAUACGAUUUGGUUAACGCUGAACAAUACCCUGGUUUGAUUCAAGACGAUAUUACCCUUGAGAAAUACCAGGUGAAUACUACACUGAGCAGCAUCCCGAGAGAGAUAAUAGUCAAUGGAAAUUUUCAAUCGCAGGUUCUUAUCACUGACGUAGAAUAUAACGUUAUGUAUGAACUUCGACUUCUAGCGUUUAAAGAUAAUAUCGAAGGACCUAUGUCUGAGCCCAGAAGGAUCAAAAUCGUUAAAGGAGACGGAUACCACGCAGUUAUCCAGAAACUUCCAACUGGAUGUUUGUUUUCAGUACCUAAUGUGUUACGUCACAAUGGCGAUGACUAUCCAUUUGUUCAGGACUCUUAUAUAUAAUUUCCAAGACAUUUUUUAAUCUAAGCAUUGUUAUGAAAUCUUCAGAAAUACACUUUUCCUGAAACUUUGUUUUUUUAUGUAAUAGGUAUCAAAUAAUCCGUCUAAUGGUAAUUGGUCACCACCGCCCAUAGACAUUAGCACUGUCAGAAAUAAUAACCAUUCCUUGGGAGCUAAGAUGUUAUGUCCCUUGUUCCUGUAGUUACGCUGCCUCAAUCACCUUUCAAAUCAGAACACAACAAUUCUAACUAUUGCUAUUUGGCGGCAGAAUAUCUGAUGAGUAACUACCAAGAAAAAUAAAUUCUAAGAUUCUACCACAUCCUCAAAGUCUUUCUUUUAUACAGAACCUUUCUCUUUAUAAGCAGUUCGCUUAUAAAAUGCCAUGACACCAAAUA